GUGGCGAACGGGUGAGUAACGCGUGAGUAACCUGCCCUAGAGUGGGGGACAACAGUUGGAAACGACUGCUAAUACCGCAUAAGCCCACGGCACCGCAUGGCACUGAGGGAAAAGGAUUUAUUCGCUUUAGGAUGGACUCGCGUCCAAUUAACUAGUUGGUGAGGUAACGGCCCACCAAGGCGACGAUUGGUAGCCGGACUGAGAGGUUGAACGGCCACAUUGGGACUGAGACACGGCCCAGACUCCUACGGGAGGCAGCAGUGGGGGAUAUUGCACAAUGGGGGAAACCCUGAUGCAGCGACGCCGCGUGGAGGAAGAAGGUUUUCGGAUUGUAAACUCCUGUCGUUAGGGACGAUAAUGACGGUACCUAACAAGAAAGCACCGGCUAACUACGUGCCAGCAGCCGCGGUAAAACGUAGGGUGCAAGCGUUGUCCGGAAUUACUGGGUGUAAAGGGAGCGCAGGCGGGAAGACAAGUUGGAAGUGAAAACCAUGGGCUCAACCCAUGAAUUGCUUUCAAAACUGUUUUUCUUGAGUAGUGCAGAGGUAGAUGGAAUUCCCGGUGUAGCGGUGGAAUGCGUAGAUAUCGGGAGGAACACCAGUGGCGAAGGCGGUCUACUGGGCACCAACUGACGCUGA
RNAcentral lists this ribosomal RNA (638 nucleotides) under uncultured bacterium. Its description in RNAcentral is "bacterial SSU rRNA". It matches the Rfam family "Bacterial small subunit ribosomal RNA", at positions 95 to 749 of the family's 1533-position model. The record is from RNAcentral.